Molecule: long non-coding RNA, 1035 nt
Filed under: Falco tinnunculus (common kestrel)
Lineage: Eukaryota; Metazoa; Chordata; Aves; Falconiformes; Falconidae
Description: lncRNA (ENSFTIG00000014915.1)
Source: RNAcentral
UUUUAGUGUUUGUUUCUUACACUUUUUUUUUGAUAGAUUCACACCUAUGAAUAUGAUACUAAACAUUUUUUUGCUUAUUCUUUCUCUUAAUUAAAGGUUACUGGUCUAAAUGUUCUUUAAGAGGUUUAGUUUUGUGGCUUGUAAGUGUGAAGAAAAGGCACUGAAGAUGCACAGGAUUAAAGAACAUCUACUGUAAUCCUCUGAGCCUGGACGACUCCUCAUUCAUGGCACUAGCAAUAAAUAGAAAUCAAAGAAAGACAUUGAGAACAAACUGGAGCAUUUAAAAGCUCAAACUCUGGAAAUACCAGAAACUACUGGAAAAGAAGGCAAGAACACUUCAAUGUACAUCUGGAAGCAGCUGAGCAGUCUUCAUGGAUUCAAAAAAUUUGGAACAUCUGCAUAGAAAAGCAAAGGACUUCUCCCAGUGUGGAUAAAGAAACUUUUAAAAUGAGCCUGAUGGCAGCCAGAUACCAACAACAGGAUCACAAAGUUACUUACAGGGGCAGAUCCGGCCGUUGCAAUCUACGUGCCCUUCCCUGGCAGAGUGAAAUACUGGUAACUCACUGAACCUCUGGGUAAGUGCGUAAAGAUGCAGAGACUUCAACUUUGGCAAAACAAGACAACCCUCUUCAGCAGUAGCAGCUUCACCAUCCCCAGUGGUUUGCAGGUUAUUUCCUCACUAUGUCUAUGUUUCUGAUCUUCAAAGCAACACAGACCUGGCUUCCCCAGAGUUUGGUUCUUUAAUCAUAAAAACACAGGUACUCCUCUGAAGCAAGCAGUAUCACCCAGAUCAGGGUGAUGCAAGUGAAAACGUGGCAAUCAAGAGAAAGUCCCUUAACUGAAGUGUUCAUUGAUAGAACUUCAGCCUACAGAACAUCAAGAUAAUUCAGCCAACGGUUCCCAAAACUGUCUAGCUGGAUAAUCCGGGCAGCUUGUACCACUGACAGAGUAAAGCCACACGCGGGCUGGAAGUGCCUGGCGCUCACCUGCGAUGCAUUCCACUGCACGGUCUCAGGAGAUAGGAAAUUUCCCAAA